GAGAAAGAUUAAUAAGAACUGCUAACUCUUAUAACUGAAAUUAAAAACCUCAGCUCUCUCA
RNAcentral lists this transfer RNA (61 nucleotides) under Emydura macquarii krefftii (Krefft's turtle). RNAcentral describes it as "tRNA-Ser". Lineage: Eukaryota; Metazoa; Chordata; Testudines; Chelidae. The record is from RNAcentral.